AAAGCAGGUCUGCAAUUGCAGCACUUCCUUUCUGUGGAGUGCUGUCAUUAAGCCUGCUGAGAGCAUCUGUCUGCUACAGAGCUUUCACUCCUCCUCUGUUUGUGAUGAGGACGCUGUGUAGCUGGAACAUAU
Small nucleolar RNA from Thalassophryne amazonica, 132 nucleotides. RefSeq annotates it as small nucleolar RNA SNORA69. The record is from RefSeq and is a predicted model, not a curated record. NCBI's taxonomy places the organism in Eukaryota, Metazoa, Chordata, Actinopteri, Batrachoidiformes, Batrachoididae. The transcript has a single exon.